This is a long non-coding RNA of Mustela erminea (ermine), 601 nucleotides long. RefSeq lists it as uncharacterized. The record is from RefSeq and is a predicted model, not a curated record. The transcript is spliced from 4 exons. NCBI's taxonomy places the organism in Eukaryota, Metazoa, Chordata, Mammalia, Carnivora, Mustelidae.
GCCUAGUGGAAAACAUCUGGAGGAUGAAGACACAUGGCGAGAGACCCACCCGGAGAGGACAGACCACUUGAGAAAAAUGCAGAGAAGCUAUGUGGGCUGUGUUUGGAGAAGUUCCAUUAUUACUGCAAGGGUGACCAGCAAAUACUGUGUGUGAUGGGCCAGGAGGCCCGGGAGCACAGGCCUCAUACUGCUGUCCUCUUGAAGAAGGCUGCGCAGCCUAAUCGGACGAAAUUGCAGAGCCACAGCAGGACACUGCGUCAGUGUUUGAACCGGGGCAGCAGUUCUUGAGCCAGAGAGAGAGAGAGCGCAGGGCCUGCUGGAGCCGCUGGAAGGAUUGCGCAAGAGCAGGCAAAGGCAGGAGGGCCCGGUCAGCAAGGACUCUGAGCAAGUGCUCCGACUUGGAGCCCUGAUUUCUGAGUCGGAAGAAAAGCCUCAGCAGCCGGCAGUAGAGCUUCUGCAGGUGCCCCCUGGAAGAAGUUCUGGCCUAUCAGUACUGCAAUCAAAAAGUGGGCAGAAGAGUUUGCGGAUAAACUUCGUUCUUUAGAGAAAGGAAUCAGAGGAUUCAAUGAAGACUGCAGAGGGAUCUGGAGUAUAAGACCAG